GACGAACGCUGGCGGCGUGCCUAAUACAUGCAAGUCGAACGCAGUGGGGACGGUUGAUUAAAACGUGGGUAACCUCCCAUCAGAGGGGAUAACACUUGGAAACAGGUGCUAAACCGAUACUGAUGGAUGGAACCGCGGUGCAUUAGCUAGUUGGUGGGGUAACGGCUCACCAAGGCCACGAGGCGUAGCCGGCCUGCGAGGGUGACCGGACACACGGGGACUGAGACACGGCCCAGACUCCUACGGGAGGCAUCAGUAGGGAAUCUUCGGCAAGGGACGAAAGUCUGACCGAGCAACGCCGCGUGAGUGAAGAAGGUUUUCGGAUCGUAAAACUCUGUUGUUAGAGAAGCGGUAUCUAACCAGAAAGCCACGGCUAACUACGUGCCAGCAGCCGCGGUAAUAC
RNAcentral lists this ribosomal RNA (403 nucleotides) under uncultured bacterium. Its description in RNAcentral is "partial 16S ribosomal RNA". It matches the Rfam family "Bacterial small subunit ribosomal RNA", at positions 28 to 526 of the family's 1533-position model. The record is from RNAcentral.